UAGCAACAGCUUAAAACUCAAAGGACUUGGCGGUGCUUUAUAUCCUUCUAGAGGAGCCUGUUCUAUAAUCGAUAAACCCCGAUAAACCUCACCAAUUCUUGCUAAUACAGUCUAUAUACCGCCAUCUUCAGCAAACAAUGGCUGG
This 145-nucleotide ribosomal RNA is filed under the name Bos taurus (domestic cattle). Its description in RNAcentral is "partial small subunit ribosomal RNA". The record is from RNAcentral. Lineage: Eukaryota; Metazoa; Chordata; Mammalia; Artiodactyla; Bovidae.